This 301-nucleotide ribosomal RNA is filed under the name uncultured Hymenobacter sp. RNAcentral's name for it is "bacterial SSU rRNA". It matches the Rfam family "Bacterial small subunit ribosomal RNA", at positions 495 to 795 of the family's 1533-position model. The record is from RNAcentral. Lineage: Bacteria; Pseudomonadati; Bacteroidota; Cytophagia; Cytophagales; Hymenobacteraceae.
CACGAACUCCGUGUCAGCAGCGGCGGUAAGUAGGAGGGGGCUCGCGUGGUUCGGGAUUACUUGGCGUAAAGCGCGCGUAGGCGGGUGCUCAAGUCAGAGGUGAAAGCCCGGGGCUCAACCCCGUAACUGCCUUUGAAACUAGGUGACUAGAAUCUUGGAGAGGUCAGUGGAAUUCCGAGUGUAGAGGUGAAAUUCGUAGAUAUUCGGAAGAACACCAGUGGCGAAGGCGACUGACUGGACAAGUAUUGACGCUGAGGUGCGAAAGCGUGGGGAGCAAACAGGAUUAGAUACCCGAGUAGUC